RNAcentral lists this ribosomal RNA (583 nucleotides) under Salmonella enterica. Its description in RNAcentral is "partial 23S ribosomal RNA". It matches the Rfam family "Bacterial large subunit ribosomal RNA", at positions 2259 to 2836 of the family's 2925-position model. The record is from RNAcentral. Lineage: Bacteria; Pseudomonadati; Pseudomonadota; Gammaproteobacteria; Enterobacterales; Enterobacteriaceae.
UGGUGGGUAGUUUGACUGGGGCGGUCUCCUCCUAAAGAGUAACGGAGGAGCACGAAGGUUGGCUAAUCCUGGUCGGACAUCAGGAGGUUAGUGCAAUGGCAUAAGCCAGCUUGACUGCGAGCGUGACGGCGCGAGCAGGUGCGAAAGCAGGUCAUAGUGAUCCGGUGGUUCUGAAUGGAAGGGCCAUCGCUCAACGGAUAAAAGGUACUCCGGGGAUAACAGGCUGAUACCGCCCAAGAGUUCAUAUCGACGGCGGUGUUUGGCACCUCGAUGUCGGCUCAUCACAUCCUGGGGCUGAAGUAGGUCCCAAGGGUAUGGCUGUUCGCCAUUUAAAGUGGUACGCGAGCUGGGUUUAGAACGUCGUGAGACAGUUCGGUCCCUAUCUGCCGUGGGCGCUGGAGAACUGAGGGGGGCUGCUCCUAGUACGAGAGGACCGGAGUGGACGCAUCACUGGUGUUCGGGUUGUCAUGCCAAUGGCACUGCCCGGUAGCUAAAUGCGGAAGAGAUAAGUGCUGAAAGCAUCUAAGCACGAAACUUGCCCCGAGAUGAGUUCUCCCUGAGACUUUAGGUCUCCUGAAGGAAC